AACGAACGCUGGCGGCAUGCCUAACACAUGCAAGUCGAACGAUGCCUUCGGGCAUAGUGGCGCACGGGUGCGUAACGCGUGGGAAUCUGCCCUUGGGUUCGGAAUAACUCAGAGAAAUUUGAGCUAAUACCAGAUGAUGACGUAAGUCCAAAGAUUUAUCGCCCAAGGAUGAGCCCGCGUAAGAUUAGCUAGUUGGUGGGGUAAAGGCCUACCAAGGCGACGAUCUUUAGCUGGUCUGAGAGGAUGAUCAGCCACACUGGGACUGAGACACGGCCCAGACUCCUACGGGAGGCAGCAGUGGGGAAUAUUGGACAAUGGGCGAAAGCCUGAUCCAGCAAUGCCGCGUGAGUGAUGAAGGCCUUAGGGUUGUAAAGCUCUUUUACCAGGGAUGAUAAUGACAGUACCUGGAGAAUAAGCUCCGGCUAACUCCGUG
This 433-nucleotide ribosomal RNA is filed under the name uncultured bacterium. RNAcentral's name for it is "bacterial SSU rRNA". It matches the Rfam family "Bacterial small subunit ribosomal RNA", at positions 29 to 507 of the family's 1533-position model. The record is from RNAcentral.